This 429-nucleotide ribosomal RNA is filed under the name Gemmatimonadota bacterium. RNAcentral's name for it is "Gemmatimonadetes bacterium partial 16S ribosomal RNA". It matches the Rfam family "Bacterial small subunit ribosomal RNA", at positions 355 to 776 of the family's 1533-position model. Lineage: Bacteria; Pseudomonadati; Gemmatimonadota. The record is from RNAcentral.
UAGGGAAUCUUCGGCAAUGGACGAAAGUCUGACCGAGCAACGCCGCGUGAGUGAAGAAGGUUUUCGGAUCGUAAAACUCUGUUGUUAGAGAAGAACAAGGACGUUAGUAACUGAACGUCCCCUGACGGUAUCUAACCAGAAAGCCACGGCUAACUACGUGCCAGCAGCCGCGGUAAUACGUAGGUGGCAAGCGUUGUCCGGAUUUAUUGGGCGUAAAGCGAGCGCAGGCGGUUUCUUAAGUCUGAUGUGAAAGCCCCCGGCUCAACCGGGGAGGGUCAUUGGAAACUGUGAGACUUGAGUGCAGAAGAGGAGAGUGGAAUUCCAUGUGUAGCGGUGAAAUGCGGAGAUAUAUGGAGGAACACCAGUGGCGAAGGCGGCUCUCUGGUCUGUAACUGACGCUGAGGCUCGAAAGCGUGGGGAUCAAACAGG